This is a long non-coding RNA of Mus musculus (house mouse), 565 nucleotides long. RefSeq annotates it as predicted gene, 30101. The record is from RefSeq and is a predicted model, not a curated record. NCBI's taxonomy places the organism in Eukaryota, Metazoa, Chordata, Mammalia, Rodentia, Muridae. The transcript has 3 exons.
ACGAGAUCGAGGGCGGGGCUCAGCGCGCGAAAAGCCUGAAGGCUCUGUUGUCGCUAAGCAACGGUGAUAGGUGAUAGAAUCCGCACUUCCUAGUGCAGUCUGUACAAGCGCCAUGGGGUUCCACUGGGCCUGACUCCCGUUCUAGUAUGAAUAUGAAGUGUUGAAGGCUCCGUCCUCAGAUGACGUCAUGAUUGAAGGGUAAUAAGAUGUUUUGUCAUGGAAGUGAAAACACAAUAUGUCUCCAGAGUGGGGAUGGCCUAAUGGACCCCAAAUGCUGGCACGUCAUUCGAGGCCUCUUGAUGUCGCAGUGAGCAUGGAGCAGAGGCAGUACUAGUAAGACAUGUCUCGUUCAGUCUGGAGAAGCUCCUGGGGACAGUGACCAAGUGUCUGGCUAGGAUGAUGAGGGGCUGUCUGGGCUGCUCUGUCCCUGGAGGCAGGAAGGAUACCCUGGCAGCUCUAGAAAUGUGUGUGCUCAGAUGCUCACUUCUGGGAACCCUGUAAUAUACAAAUCUGUCUUGCAUACGCUUGCUGGAUAUUGUUUUCUUUUUCUUUUUUUUUAAAGAUU